UCCCUAGUAGCUCAGAUGGUAAAGCAUCUGCCUGCAAUGCAGGAGACACAAGUUCGAUCCCUGGGUUGGGAA
RNAcentral lists this transfer RNA (72 nucleotides) under Bos taurus (domestic cattle). It matches the Rfam family "tRNA". Rfam says of the family: Transfer RNA (tRNA) molecules are approximately 80 nucleotides in length. Their secondary structure includes four short double-helical elements and three loops (D, anti-codon, and T loops). The record is from Rfam by way of RNAcentral. Lineage: Eukaryota; Metazoa; Chordata; Mammalia; Artiodactyla; Bovidae. RNAcentral also lists the same sequence under 2 other names.